AGUCGUGCAUGGUCGUGCAGCUCUCGGCUGCUCUUCCUCUUCGCGCAGUAAAACCGAGACGAGAAAAUAAAUGCCAAAGUGUGAACACAGCACAGUCAAUAUUUAACUGGCGAUUAAAAAACGAAAAACCACCUUUAACUUUAACUCAACUUGAGCAACCAAAAACGGAGCUGUAAAAGAGCAGUUCCAGUUCCAGCGAGGUUCCAAGGAGAGCAGCCACAGCCGCAUUCCAGAAAGUUCAAAUAACACUGGAAGGCGGGGGGAAAGUGGAAAACUAAACUCGAACUCAGUGUGCCAUGUGUGUAUGUGUGUGGAAUGCAGAAGAAGAAGAACGAUCUUCAAACUGGUUUCUGGUUUUAGACUGUUUGACGUCGGCCGAUUGACAUCCCAAAACGAAAAAAACCUAACCUUCGCUGGGAACACUCGAACAGCGGUGAGCGGCCAGAACGGGAAUGGGAACAGAAACAGAAACGGGAACAGCCAUAAAAGUUGCAUCACUCAGCACAAACAACAAGUCAACCACCAGCAUAGAAUGCGGCUGCCAGACAGGCAAGACGGCACUAGUGGCGGAAAGAGAAGGAGCGACAGCAGAAGAACCGUUUUAAAGAGCUACAGAGCGAGAGGGGCGAGCGCGAGCGGGAUGGCGCACACGAGCAAAGGGAAAAGGGAGCAGCACAACACUCGGAGAAAUGAAUGGAGGAAAAAGUAUUGAAGUAUGUUCUUGUAAAAAUAUCCUUGAAAAGGGUGUCUACUAGGUGAUCGCACGAGUGUGAGAUACUAACUAGGAGUGUUUACAGAGUGUUCUUAAAAGAUAAUCAAAUAGAUCGUUGUUUUAUUUUAUAAAAAAUCAAGUCGUAUCUUAAAGGUGACAAGCCUAGAAACGGACAACACAGGAGAGUGAUACUAUUAUAAGAUUCAUUUUACUUAAGAAAUUGAGUAUCUGUAAAGAUGGGUAAUCCCUAAUUUCGAGGUCUUGUUAGGCGAAUGAAAACUAAAAUAUUUUUUUAAUAACAAGACAUUUUGAAAUACUUGUUAAAGUUAUCCCGUUCAUUUUGCAGUUCAUCGUGGAAACCGUAGUCAGCAAAAAAGAACCCUUUAACUGGAAUAUCGAUAAGCUAUCGAUGGGACAUCGGUAUGCAUCCAGGGCCCAUCAAUUUGCAUUCCAAAAACGAAGGAGUUACACGGGGCAGCGAACUGAGUGUUUUUAUACACAUCAUAAAUGUCAAUUAAAAAUGAUAUUUGUAUUGUCAAGUUCCGCCCGUCGGAUUGCCAUAAAAUGUGCUAUAAAAAGCUAACGGUUAAUGCUACGGUCUGCUGAAGUUCGUGUGUGGCUGCAAAGAGUGGAAAAAACGAAGAGGGGAAAAAACAAAAACUAUUCCCCGCUCAAUAGAAAGUUUGUGUUAAUAAAAAAAUACCUAAAAACUUAAACACACAAAAUAUGUAUGUCGAAAUAUGGCAGCAACAAAAAAGAGUGAAUGAAAAAAUGUUGACCUAAUUUUCGGGGCCCGUUGUUGUUGUUUUUGGUCUUGUUUAUUUCAGCGACGUCGACGGCGGCAGAGGC
Drosophila suzukii is the source of this 1561-nucleotide non-coding RNA. The record is from RefSeq and is a predicted model, not a curated record. Lineage: Eukaryota; Metazoa; Arthropoda; Insecta; Diptera; Drosophilidae.